AUAUCACUGCCCAGCCCAGCCCAGCCCAGCCCAGCUCAUACCUCAUAUCUUAUAAGCUGAAAAGAGAGAGCUCCACGCAGGCAUUGGAUGGGAGCUGGGCCCGUGAGCAGGUCCCAGUGGGCUUUGGAGACUUGGGUGAGGGGCCGGGAUGGCUCGUUCCCUGUGGAGUUUGUGAAUGUGGAUUGUGUUGUCUUUCCUGAAUGUUUGUGUAUGUGGGUUUAUUGCUGUGCGGUUACUAACCCUGCUUUCCCUUGUUCCCCAUUUGCUCUGGGGGAGGACAGGUGCACGGAGGAGGAUGGGCUGGGCUGCAGGGAACUGUGCUCUGCUGCCAAGCCACUCCCCACAUCCCCACCGUGGUCCUGCCCUCCUUCCAUUGUAGAUGCAGCAUGAACUGGCAGGAAACCUUUCAGAGCCUGGCAUUUCUCAGUCUAUGCAACAUCCUCAGACCCAGCUCUGUCCAUCCUCCUCUCCCUCCCCAGCCACCGGCACAUGCGUGUGCGUGCACGCAUGGCCUGCUCAGAAGAUUUUUAUGUUUUUUUGUGUCCUCCUUCCACAUUUGCUUUCUUUAGUCAUCCAAACACUGUUUUCUUUCAUUUCCAUCACAUUCCGCCCACCCCGCUUCGUUGUAGUUCUUUACUCUUCUCCCAGAUUCUUAAAUCUUGCCCCUAGGUGAUUUUAUUUUUCAUUCCUGACACUUGUGGGUGCUGGGGAAAAUGCCCAGAAAGUUGAAUCAGAAGAGGAUUGCAUUUUCUGUGAGCUGCGCCAACGCCCUCCUCCGCCUGGACCCUGGCAUCAGCACAGGCUGCCGCAGCUGUUGGGACAUCUGGCCAACUGUGUGACGUCUGACCCACAGAUCCAGCCAACCACGGAUGGAUCUGAUCAGGAGAAAGGAAUUCCACCUGAGAGCGCACGUCUGCUUCUGCCUCCGGACAGCGCAGUCACGGGGCAGC
Long non-coding RNA from Ochotona curzoniae (black-lipped pika), 950 nucleotides. RefSeq lists it as uncharacterized. The transcript has 3 exons. The record is from RefSeq and is a predicted model, not a curated record. Lineage: Eukaryota; Metazoa; Chordata; Mammalia; Lagomorpha; Ochotonidae.